This 253-nucleotide ribosomal RNA is filed under the name uncultured bacterium. RNAcentral describes it as "partial 16S ribosomal RNA". It matches the Rfam family "Bacterial small subunit ribosomal RNA", at positions 524 to 776 of the family's 1533-position model. The record is from RNAcentral.
GACAGAGGGUGCGAACGUUGUUCGGAAUUACUGGGCGUAAAGCGCGUGUAGGCGGCUCGGAAAGUCGGAUGUGAAAGCCCUGGGCUUAACCUAGGAAGUGCAUUCGAAACUCCCGAGCUUGAGCUCUGGAGAGGAAGGCGGAAUUCUCGGUGUAGAGGUGAAAUUCGUAGAUAUCGAGAGGAACACCGGUGGCGAAGGCGGCCUUCUGGACAGUGACUGACGCUGAGACGCGAAAGCGUGGGGAGCGAACAGG